CCUACGGGCGGCAGCAGUGAGGAAUAUUGGUCAAUGGACGAGAGUCUGAACCAGCCAAGUAGCGUGAAGGAUGACUGCCCUAUGGGUUGUAAACUUCUUUUAUAAAGGAAUAAAACGAGGCACGUGUGCCUUUUUGCAUGUACUUUAUGAAUAAGGAACGGCUAACUCCGUGCCAGCAGCCGCGGUAAUACGGAGGAUCCGAGCGUUAUCCGGAUUUAUUGGGUUUAAAGGGAGCGUAGAUGGGUUGUUAAGUCAGUUGUGAAAGUUUGCGGCUCAACCGUAAAAUUGCAAUUGAUACUGGCAGUCGUGAGUACAGUUGAGGUAAGCGGAAUUCGUGGUGUAGCGGUGAAAUGCUUAGAUAUCACGAAGAACCCCGAUUGCGAAGGCAGCUUACUAAACUGUGACUGACAUUGAUGCUCGAAAGUGUGGGUAUCAAACAGGAUUAGAUACCCGGGUAGUC
RNAcentral lists this ribosomal RNA (460 nucleotides) under uncultured bacterium. Its description in RNAcentral is "partial 16S ribosomal RNA". It matches the Rfam family "Bacterial small subunit ribosomal RNA", at positions 338 to 795 of the family's 1533-position model. The record is from RNAcentral.